UACGUAGGUGGCAAGCGUUGUCCGGAUUUAUUGGGUUUAAAGGGUGCGUAGGCGGCAUUUUAAGUCAGUGGUGAAAUACGGCAGCUCAACUGUCGAGGUGCCAUUGAUACUGGGAUGCUUGAGUACUGAUGAGGUAGGCGGAAUGGACGGUGUAGCGGUGAAAUGCUUAGAUAUCGUCCAGAACACCGAUAGCGAAGGCAGCUUACUAAGGAGUAACUGACGCUGAGGCACGAAAGUGUGGGGAUCAAACAGG
Molecule: ribosomal RNA, 253 nt
Filed under: Cytophagales bacterium
Lineage: Bacteria; Pseudomonadati; Bacteroidota; Cytophagia; Cytophagales
Also listed under: 1 other name
Description: partial 16S ribosomal RNA
Rfam family: Bacterial small subunit ribosomal RNA
Source: RNAcentral